Molecule: transfer RNA, 60 nt
Filed under: Ornithodoros brasiliensis
Lineage: Eukaryota; Metazoa; Arthropoda; Arachnida; Ixodida; Argasidae
Description: tRNA-Asp
Source: RNAcentral
AAAAAACUAGUUAAAAUAUAACAUAAGAUUGUCAUUCUUAAAUUACAUAGGUGUUUUUUA